This 460-nucleotide ribosomal RNA is filed under the name uncultured bacterium. RNAcentral describes it as "partial 16S ribosomal RNA". It matches the Rfam family "Bacterial small subunit ribosomal RNA", at positions 338 to 795 of the family's 1533-position model. The record is from RNAcentral.
CCUACGGGAGGCAGCAGUGAGGAAUAUUGGUCAAUGGGCUUACGCCUGAACCAGCCAAGUCGCGUGAGGGAAGACUUCCCUAUGGGUUGUAAACCUCUUUUGUCAGGGAGCAAUUGGCGCUACGUGUAUCGUUAUCGAGAGUACCUUAAGAAAAAGCAGCGGCUAACUCGGUUCCAGCGCCCGCGUUAUAACGGGGGAUGCGCGCGUUAUCCGGUUUUAUUGGUGUUAAGGGGGGCGUAGGCGGAAUGCCAAGUCAACGGUAAAAGCGCGGGGCUCAACCUCGCACCGCCGUUGAAACUGGCGGUCUGGAGUGCGCGAGAAGUAUGCGGAAUGCGUGGUGUAGCGGUGAAAUGCAUAGAUAUCACGAAGAACACCGAUUGCGAAGGCAGCAUACCGGAGCCCAACUGACGCUGAAGCACGAAAGCGUGGGUAUCGAACAGGAUUAGAUACCCUAGUAGUC